Molecule: ribosomal RNA, 630 nt
Filed under: Chroococcidiopsis cubana SAG 39.79
Lineage: Bacteria; Bacillati; Cyanobacteriota; Cyanophyceae; Chroococcidiopsidales; Chroococcidiopsidaceae
Description: bacterial LSU rRNA
Rfam family: Bacterial large subunit ribosomal RNA
Source: RNAcentral
GCUAAGGUCCCCAAAUCAAAGUUAAGUGGCAAAGGAGGUGGGAGUGCACAGACAACCAGGAGGUUUGCCUAGAAGCAGCCAUCCUUGAAAGAGUGCGUAAUAGCUCACUGGUCAAGCGCUCCUGCGCCGAAAAUGAACGGGACUAAACUUUGUACCGAAGCUGCGGACUUGUAGCGAUACAAGUGGUAGGGGAGCGUUCUGCGAUAGGGUGAAGCACUAGCGGCAAGCAGGUGUGGACGAAGCAGAAGUGAGAAUGUCGGCUUGAGUAGCGCAAAUAUUGGUGAGAAUCCAAUACCCCGAAACCCUAAGGGUUCCUCCACAAGGCUCGUCCGUGGAGGGUUAGUCAGGACCUAAGGCGAGGCCGAACGGCGUAGUCGAUGGACAACGGGCGAACAAUCCCGUACUGAAGAUUAGUUGUGCAGAGGGACGGAGAAGGCACGCACCAGCCAGAUGUUGGUUACUGGCGCAAUUAACCGAGGCAUCGAGAAGCGGCGAAAACGCUUCGAGCUGGGGUUAAGAGACCGAGGGUCUACGGACCCGAAGUGGUAGCGGUCAAGCUUCCAAGAAAAGCUCUAAACACGUUAACUAAUCGUCACCAGACCCUAAACCGACACAGGUAGGGAGGUAGAG